Amaranthus tricolor (Joseph's coat) is the source of this 1007-nucleotide RNA transcript. It is a transcript of the gene named protein PECTIC ARABINOGALACTAN SYNTHESIS-RELATED-like, with no coding region annotated. The transcript has 4 exons. The record is from RefSeq and is a predicted model, not a curated record. NCBI's taxonomy places the organism in Eukaryota, Viridiplantae, Streptophyta, Magnoliopsida, Caryophyllales, Amaranthaceae.
UUUCUCUCUCCUUCUUCUUCUUCUUCUUCUUCCCCAAUUACCUUCAUUCUCUUCUCCUCCUCCAUUGUUACACAUAAUUAAGAAACCUUCUAAUCCAACUAAAACUCGCACAGCAAAAAGAUUUCAAUUUAAGAAAACCUUCUGCUUACCACUAUGAUAUCUUGGUGCUUGGAUUUAUGACAUUAGUUUGCGGACUUAUUGGACUUCCUCCAUCAAAUGGCGUCCUUCCGCAGUCUCCAAUGCAUAGUAAGAGCCUCGCUACUCUUAAGAAGCAGGUGAUGAAGGAAGAAUUGGCAAACAAGGAGAAGUUAGAUGGCUUCAAAAAGCAUGUUACGACCCUAGCGGCGCUCGACUUGUUGGUUUGCUUGAAGUCUGAUUUGUUUGUGAUGACCCAUGGAGGCAAUGUCUUUGAAAACACAUUAUGUUGAUGAAUAUACAGAGAUUUAGUUGGAUUAAGACUUAAGAGGGUUUUUAAUUAUGUGUAACAAUGGAUGAGGAGAAGAGAAUGGAGGUAAUUGGGGAAGAAGAAGAAGGAGAGAGAAAAGUAAUUGGGGAAAGAAAAACUAAAAGAAAAAGAAAAAAAAAACUCACAAAAACAAAAUUAAAGCAAAAAAAAAAGGGAAGUCAAAGGUUAAAUGGCAUGUCAACUGGUCCAUCUGUACGGAAUCGUUCACCUGGCCUGAAUGCUGGUCAAAAUUGAAAUAUGGUGGCUGUAAUUCGCAAAAAAUAAAAAAACAAGAUGGUGAAUGAUAGCAUGAUUACUACCGUACGGGUAGGAAGUGUGAGAGUGUGCUCUAGGACUGUUCCUCUCAUCUUGUCUCUUACAUUUAGACCUUAAGACUUUUAUUUCUUUUCUUUUAAAGGAUUUUUUUUUUCUGCAAUAAUGUAAUAAGAUUUUGUACCUUUAAGUUUUAUAUACUUUACGGUUUAUGAGGUUUAUAUUGUGGUUCUCAUCCAAUUAUUUUUUUUAAGACUACGUGACAACCGACUUAAAAGUUAUUUUCGAA